Molecule: ribosomal RNA, 196 nt
Filed under: uncultured bacterium
Lineage: Bacteria
Description: partial 16S ribosomal RNA
Rfam family: Bacterial small subunit ribosomal RNA
Source: RNAcentral
UCCUACGGGAGGCAGCAGGGGGGAAUAUUGCGCAAUGGACGAAAGUCUGACGCAGCGACGCCGCGUGGAGGAUGAAGGUUUUCGGAUCGUAAACUCCUGUCAAGAGGGAAGAAACCUAUCAAAAUUAAUACUUUUGGUAAUUGACGGUACCUCUAGAGGAAGCACCGGCUAAUUCAGUGCCAGCAGCCGCGGUAAU